GACCAACUUUCCCUUUUUGUCAUCCUAGC
This 29-nucleotide non-coding RNA is filed under the name Rattus norvegicus (Norway rat). The record is from RNAcentral. Lineage: Eukaryota; Metazoa; Chordata; Mammalia; Rodentia; Muridae.